RNAcentral lists this ribosomal RNA (331 nucleotides) under uncultured bacterium. RNAcentral's name for it is "bacterial SSU rRNA". It matches the Rfam family "Bacterial small subunit ribosomal RNA", at positions 568 to 898 of the family's 1533-position model. The record is from RNAcentral.
UCCGUAGGCGGUGCGGCAAGUCGAUAGUGAAAUCCCUGGGCUUAACUCAGGGGCUGCUAACGAAACUGCCGUGCUAGAGUGUGAGAGAGGCGAGUGGAAUUACGGGUGUAGCGGUGAAAUGCGUAGAUAUCCGUAGGAACAUCCGAGGCGAAAGCGGCUCGCUGGAUCACAACUGACGCUGAGGGACGAAAGCUAGGGGAGCAAACAGGAUUAGAUACCCUGGUAGUCCCUAGCCCUAAACCAUCAGGACUUGGGGUUUGCCCUGUACGGGGCAAGUCCCGUAGCUAACGCGUUAAGUCCUGCGCCUGGGGAGUACGGUCGCAAGGCUGAA